RNAcentral lists this ribosomal RNA (2894 nucleotides) under Agaribacillus aureus. RNAcentral's name for it is "23S ribosomal RNA". It matches the Rfam family "Bacterial large subunit ribosomal RNA". The record is from RNAcentral. Lineage: Bacteria; Pseudomonadati; Bacteroidota; Cytophagia; Cytophagales; Splendidivirgaceae.
AAGAAAGUUACUAAGGGCGUAUGGGGAAUGCCUAGGCUCUCAGAGGCGAUGAAGGACGUGAUAAGCUGCGAUAAGCCGCGGGGAUUGGCAAAUACGAAUUAAUCCGCGGAUUUCCGAAUGGGACAACCCGUCUGGUUGAAGGCCAGACAUCCUAAUUUAUUAGGAGGCAAACCCAGGGAACUGAAACAUCUAAGUACCUGGAGGAGAAGAAAACAAUAGUGAUUUCGUAAGUAGUGGCGAGCGAACGCGAAACAGCCCAAACCAGAUUAGUUACGGCUAAUUUGGGGUAGUAGGACUGUGAUAAAGGUUGAUAAAUAAAUUUGAAUUACCUGGGAAGGUAAGCCGUAGAGGGUGAAAGCCCCGUAAGAGUACAUUUAUUAUCUGGCGCAGUAUCCUGAGUAGGACGGAGCAGGUGAAACUCUGUUUGAAACAGCCGGCACCAUCCGGUAAGGCUAAAUACUCCUGAGAGACCGAUAGUGAACCAGUACCGUGAGGGAAAGGUGAAAAGUACCCUGAAUAAGGGGGUGAAAAAGAACCUGAAACCAUACGCUUACAAGCGGUCGGAGCCCAUUAGUUGGGUGACGGCGUGCCUUUUGCAUAAUGAGCCUACGAGUUACACCUUGCUGGCAAGGUUAAGUGAUAUAAGUCACGUAUCCGGAGCGAAAGCGAGUCUGAAUAGGGCGUUGUAGUCAGCAGGGGUAGACGCGAAACUUGGUGAUCUACCCAUGACCAGGGUGAAGUUCUGGUAACACAGAAUGGAGGCCCGAACCAAUAGACGUUGAAAAGUCUUUGGAUGAGUUGUGGGUAGGGGUGAAAGGCCAAUCAAACCAAGAAAUAGCUCGUACUCCCCGAAAUGCUUUUAGGAGCAGCGUUCAGGGAUGUCUAAUAGAGGUAGAGCUACCAAUAGGACUAGGGGGAGUCAUAUCCUACCAAAUCCUGAUGAACUCCGAAUGCUAUUAGAUUACCUGAGCAGUGAGGGUCAGGGUGCUAAGGUCCUGAUCCGAGAGGGAAAGAACCCGGACCAACAGCUAAGGUCCCCAAAUAUAUGCUAAGUUGAACAAAGGCGGUCCAGUUGCUUAGACAGCCAGGAUGUUGGCUUGGAAGCAGCCAUUCAUUUAAAGAGUGCGUAACAGCUCACUGGUCGAGCGACAGGGCAUCGAUAAUGAUCGGGCAUCAAGCAUAUUACCGAAGCUUUGGAAUUAUUUUAUAAUUGGUAGGGGAGCAUUCUAAUGAUGAAGAAGUCACGGGGCGACCUGUGGUGGAGACAUUAGAAAAGCAAAUGUAGGCAUAAGUAACGAUAAUGCGGGCGAGAAACCCGCACACCGAAAGACUAAGGUUUCCCCGGCAAUGCUAAUCAACCGGGGGUUAGUCGGGGCCUAAGGCGAACCCGAAAGGGGUAGUCGAUGGACAAUCGGUUAAUAUUCCGAUACUAGCUAAACAGAGUGAUGGGGUGACGGAGGAGUGAAAGCACUGCGUACUGACGGAAUAGUACGUUGAACACUGAAGGUAUAUGACUUAUAGGCAAAUCCGUAAGUUGUGCUAAAGGUGGACAGUACCACAAUGCUUCGGCAGCGUGGAUAAUGUGCCUAAUCAGACUUCCAAGAAAACCCUCUAAGCGUUUACUGUUUAGCUACCCGUACCGUAAACCGACACAGGUAGUUGAGGAGAGAAUCCUAAGGUGCUCGAGUGAUUCAUGGCUAAGGAACUAGGCAAAAUAGCCCUGUAACUUCGGGAUAAGGGGCGCUUCCCCACCUUCGGGUGGGAAGCCGCAGUGAAAAGGCCCAGGCGACUGUUUAACAAAAACACAUGGCUUUGCGAAAUUGAAAGAUGAAGUAUAAGGCCUGACACCUGCCCGGUGCCGGAAGGUUAAGGGGGGAUGUUAUCCUUCGGGAGAAGCAUUGAACUGAAGCCCCGGUAAACGGCGGCCGUAACUAUAACGGUCCUAAGGUAGCGAAAUUCCUUGUCGGGUAAGUUCCGACCUGCACGAAUGGUGUAACGAUCUGGGCACUGUCUCGGCCAUGAGCUCGGUGAAAUUGUAGUCGCGGUGAAGAUGCCGCGUACCCGCAACGGGACGGAAAGACCCCAUGAACCUUUACUACAGCUUAACAUUGGUAUUGGGUAAAUGAUGUGUAGGAUAGGUGGGAGACUAUGAAAUGGCGUCGCCAGGCGUUGUGGAGUCACCCUUGAAAUACCACCCUUUAUUUAUCUGAUGCCUAAUCCGUGUAUGCGGAGACAUUGUUUGGUGGGUAGUUUGACUGGGGUGGUCGCCUCCAAAAAGGUAACGGAGGCUUUCAAAGGUACCCUCAGCACGAUUGGUAACCGUGCGCAGAGCGUAAUAGCAUAAGGGUGCUUGACUGUGAGACCCACAAGUCGAUCAGGCACGAAAGUGGGAUAUAGUGAUCCGGUGGUUCCGCAUGGAAGGGCCAUCGCUCAAAGGAUAAAAGGUACUCUGGGGAUAACAGGCUGAUCUCCCCCAAGAGCUCAUAUCGACGGGGAGGUUUGGCACCUCGAUGUCGGCUCGUCACAUCCUGGGGCUGGAGAAGGUCCCAAGGGUUGGGCUGUUCGCCCAUUAAAGUGGCACGCGAGCUGGGUUCAGAACGUCGUGAGACAGUUCGGUCCCUAUCUGUUGUGGGCGUAAGAAGCUUGAGAGGAUCUGACCUUAGUACGAGAGGACCGGGUUGGACAAACCGCUGGUGUAUCAGUUGUGCCGCCAGGUGCAUUGCUGAGUAGCUAUGUUUGGCAGAGAUAAGCGCUGAAAGCAUCUAAGUGCGAAACUCACCUCAAGAUGAGGCUUCUCUAUAAGGGACGUCAGAGACGAUGACGUAGAUAGGUUGCAGGUGUAAAGGCAGAGAUGUCAAAGCUGAGCAAUACUAAUUACCCGAGAACUUUCUUAA